GUCUACAGCCAUGCCACCCUGAACAAGCCUGAUGUCUGAUCUCAGAAGCUAAGCAGGGUUGGGCGUGGUUUAGUACUUGGAUGGGAGACCACCUAGCAAGGCCAGGGUGCUGUAGGCA
This 118-nucleotide ribosomal RNA is filed under the name Pteropus alecto (black flying fox). The record is from RNAcentral. Lineage: Eukaryota; Metazoa; Chordata; Mammalia; Chiroptera; Pteropodidae.